UUCUCGAUGUUUCAGCAUUGACAGCCAUUGGGCGAUACAGCAUGACAAUAGAGACCGUGGAUGUGGGGUGGUGUAAAGAAAUUACUGAUCAAGGAGCCACCCUGAUUGCACAAAGCAGCAAAUCUCUGAGAUAUCUGGGGCUGAUGAGAUGCGAUAAAGUGAAUGAAGUCACAGUUGAACAGCUGGUGCAGCAGUACCCCCACAUUACCUUCAGCACUGUCCUGCAGGACUGCAAGAGGACCUUGGAGAGAGCUUAUCAGAUGGGCUGGACCCCCAACAUGUCGGCUGCCUCCUCCUAAUGUGCAUGCCCAUACAUGGGUUCACUUUGGUCGUUCAGCAGGGGCAGAGAAGUGUAGAUUUGAAAUGGGUGAUCUCUUGGAAAGGUUUUAACUAUCACCUGUCUGUGUCUGUACCAGUGUGUAUAUUUGUGUCUUGUUUGCCUACUGCAUAGCAUAAGUGCACUUGUUAUUUGUUCCCAGGUGAGCUGGCUUUUUUUCUUAAAAAUUGAAGAUUACAGAAGCCACAAAUCUUAGUUUUUAAGUGUAAAGGCUUAGUUCUUUAAACAGUAUUUUUAAUAGAAAGUCAAGGAAUUGGAUUAUUACUUUGAGCAUCUGAUUUCUGCCAUUUUUUAAAUGCCCCCCCAAAAAAGAAGUAUUUCUUUUUUGAUGAAUGGGGAUUGUGCACUUCUACAAGUCAGGCUAGAAGGGAUGGUUUAUUAAUUGGAAGCCUGUGAAUUAGUGAUCUUCAAAAUUCCAAGCACAUGUGCACGUAUAUUUAUACUCUUGUGUACCUACCCUGCAGGUACACAAACACAUUAGGGUGGUUUCUUUGUAAACCACUUCCUGACAGUGGAGACUUCCUCCAGGCUACUGAGGGAACACAUCAUCUGCUCUGGCCCCACCUAACUCAGUGUGUCCAUGAUGGGCAGCUGUCUAUCUGGUGGGUGAUUUAGGGACUAGAAAGAAUAAAGCCUUUUGUAAAUUUUUUAUAUUGAUGAAACAAUCUGAACUCCCUUGGCCAGCUCACAGAAGUUAAUUACUCUACACAUACAUUCUGUUGAGUACUAAAUAUUUUAGUUAGUUUUACAUUAACAUUGUGUUAGCUUUUAUUUUGUGGAUAGCGAGUGAUUGGAAUAUAUCUUAAUGAUAUUUGGAGCUAAUCUGAGCAUUAUCCACAAUGAAGCCACCAAUGUGAUUAAUGGUGUGUAGUAUUUUAAUAGAUCUACAGAUCAUUUCAUUAUUUUGUUAAUUUUGAUAAUUAUGAAAGUAUGUUUCUGAUAUUUAAUAGACUGCUCAUGAGUGAAAUAUAAGAAAACAAUGUUUCUAUUAAAAUUUUUUCUUUUGCUUUGCUUUAGGUUUUAGAACAGGUUUUUUGAUAUGUGCAUGUUAACUUUUUUUUUAAUAGUUUCUAUGCUACUGCAAAGAUCUAUUGCUAGCUACUGUAUGAGUUAAAAAGAAAAAUUAGAAAAUCUGUUCAUUAAGAUUCUGUUUACACUUGCCAGAAGUAUUUUUUAGUUGAAGAUUGCCAGCUUUCAGUUAAGACAGUAUCUAUCAGUAAAUGAAUAUACAUUUGAUUUCACACAUCUUUACAAUUAAUUCAUUGUAGGGACUCAGGCUCCAAUAAACUUUCCUGUGUCUGGAUUUAUAAUCAAGACUACAGGGAGCCUUUUUAAGCUAAAGAGUGAUUAUCUUUCAUAAUAGAAAUAAAAAUAAAGCACUAAUUUGUGAAUUUGUUAUUUAUUCCUUCCUGAUAUGGACAUGUUAUUUUGUCUUUAACAGAAAUAACUGAGGUUUGAGUUCAUUUCUUAUAUAUCUGAAUAUUGUUAAAAUGUAAGAAACAAAAGACAGCCUUACAUAUAAGUGUCAUUCAUGUAUUUGUACUGACUUCUUUUUGGUAAACAGCUGUUUCUUUUGAUUAUGUCAACAUAUUUCUGAUGUGGCAAUUUUUGUUUUAGUUCCAAUCACUUCAGAAAAUGUAGUCAGUAAACACUAAGAAUAUUUUCCCACGGCUAAAUAGAUUACUAAUUUAAUUUGAAGGGAGUAAAAUUUGUGUAACAAAAGACUUUAUCAUUAAUAAACUAUAUUUCUUCUUACACAGUGAACUAUGUCAUUUUCAUACCCAUUUCUCCACCACUGAAAAAUCUUAUUUCACAACAUUUAAAUUGAAUUUUAACCCAAAACUAAUUUAUAAGACCGUAUGUAUAGUAAUAGUAGCUUCAGUGAAUAAAAAAUGUUUAAUUUUAUAUAUGUCACACUAUAUUUUAAAUAAUUUUAAAAGGGACAAAAGGGAAAACAAUCUAUGGCAUAGAUGGUAUAACUUCAGUUCAAAGUUGUAAUAAUCUUUGGAACAUUACAGUUGGGUUGUCAAAUGGUUUCACAGCAUAUAAUUGAUUUUUAAAAUGUCUCAUUGUUUUAAAGUAGCACUAAAACAUGCUUUAGCUUGGGGUGGGGUGGGGUGGGGUGGGGACUGCACUUAUUCUCUAAAAUGUCAGCUAAUUCAGAAAGCCUGAUGCAACAUAACCUGGAAAACUGCUUUGGUACAUUUGUAGAAAUCUGCAGAAAUAUCGUAUCUAGCCUCAAAGCAUUAAUCUCAAAAAACAGCCAGGAAAAGCAUCACCCUGAGUGAUUCUGUGAUGGUUGUUGAAUGUGUUCUCAUUAGAUGCUUUAAAAUGAGGCUUGAAAUAAUUUUCUAGGCAAUAUAAUUUUUUGGUUUUGUUUUCUGUUUGCUUAGAAUGUCAUAAAUACAUGUGAACAUGUUUAAAGCAGGGCUUUUUAUCCUCUCCAAAAUGUCAACAGUAUUUUCAGAAUAAAACCUAUGAAAUACAUUGCUGUAGUGGAAAACUCGUUCUUUGUCUUUAAUGUCUUAGUGGAUAAAGAAAAUCACCCAGUUUGUAGUUUCUAUAUUUCUGUGAAUCUUUUGACCUUGCAAUGGGUUGCAAUAAAAGAGAAACAAAACACUGUAUCUUUUGUUUUAUUUUAGAAACAAUAAAUGGCCUCUCCAUUACUGAGUAUGACGCA
Molecule: long non-coding RNA, 3017 nt
Organism: Cavia porcellus (domestic guinea pig)
Lineage: Eukaryota; Metazoa; Chordata; Mammalia; Rodentia; Caviidae
Exons: 3
Source: RefSeq, a predicted model, not a curated record